UACGUAGGGUGCAAGCGUUAUCCGGAAUUAUUGGGCGUAAAGAGCUCGUAGGCGGUUUGUCGCGUCUGCUGUGAAAACUGGAGGCUCAACCUCCAGCCUGCAGUGGGUACGGGCAGACUAGAGUGUGGUAGGGGGAGACUGGAAUUCCUGGUGUAGCGGUGGAAUGCGCAGAUAUCGAGGAGGAACACCAAUGGCGAAGGCAGCUCGCUGAAACGGUACUGACGCUGGAGGCGCGAAAGCCGUUGGGGAGCGAACAGG
This 258-nucleotide ribosomal RNA is filed under the name uncultured bacterium. RNAcentral's name for it is "partial 16S ribosomal RNA". It matches the Rfam family "Bacterial small subunit ribosomal RNA", at positions 524 to 776 of the family's 1533-position model. The record is from RNAcentral.